GAUUGAACGCUGGCGGCAGGCCUAACACAUGCAAGUCGAGCGGAUGAAGAGAGCUUGCUCUMUGAUUCAGCGGCGGACGGGUGAGUAAUGCCUAGGAAUCUGCCUAUUAGUGGGGGACAACGUUUCGAAAGGAACGCUAAUACCGCAUACGUCCUACGGGAGAAAGCAGGGGACCUUCGGGCCUUGCGCUAAUAGAUGAGCCUAGGUCGGAUUAGCUAGUUGGUGAGGUAAUGGCUCACCAAGGCGACGAUCCGUAACUGGUCUGAGAGGAUGAUCAGUCACACUGGAACUGAGACACGGUCCAGACUCCUACGGGAGGCAGCAGUGGGGAAUAUUGGACAAUGGGCGAAAGCCUGAUCCAGCCAUGCCGCGUGUGUGAAGAAGGUCUUCGGAUUGUAAAGCACUUUAAGUUGGGAGGAAGGGCAUUAACCUAAUACGUUAGUGUUUUGACGUUACCGACAGAAUAAGCACCGGCUAACUCU
This 482-nucleotide ribosomal RNA is filed under the name Pseudomonas sp. SC8. RNAcentral describes it as "bacterial SSU rRNA". It matches the Rfam family "Bacterial small subunit ribosomal RNA", at positions 27 to 504 of the family's 1533-position model. Lineage: Bacteria; Pseudomonadati; Pseudomonadota; Gammaproteobacteria; Pseudomonadales; Pseudomonadaceae. The record is from RNAcentral.